Suncus etruscus (white-toothed pygmy shrew) is the source of this 94-nucleotide small nucleolar RNA. Lineage: Eukaryota; Metazoa; Chordata; Mammalia; Eulipotyphla; Soricidae. The record is from RefSeq and is a predicted model, not a curated record.
GCAUUACCCUGUGAUGUCCAGCACUGGGCUCUGAUCUCCUGUGAGGACAUAGUGCUCUCCAGGACAUUUGACACCCCGGGGGUCUGAGUGGUCC